GAUGAUGAGCAGGAAGGAAUUUUGGAUGAGAGUCGCCGUCUUUGUGACCUUAGACUCUUCUCACCCAUCCUCAAAGUAGUAGAACCACGUGGGAGCAAGGAAGAAAAAGUACUCAACUAUGAAAUUAGUUUGGCGAUUGGUCGUUGUGUCCAUGAUCUAGAUGACGUAAAGGACACAGAAAUUCAGCAGUUUCGACGUAAAAUUUUAGAGGUGAUUGGGGAUGCUGUCAAGGCUAGACAGACUGGUGGCCUUGAGUCAUUGGCUUGUUACCAGCAUCCUCCUGAACUAGAACCCUCAUCAAAGCUCCCUACCUCCAUAGAGAAGCAUCUUGAUGAAGGU
Molecule: long non-coding RNA, 339 nt
Organism: Macrobrachium nipponense
Lineage: Eukaryota; Metazoa; Arthropoda; Malacostraca; Decapoda; Palaemonidae
Exons: 3
Source: RefSeq, a predicted model, not a curated record